Molecule: ribosomal RNA, 254 nt
Filed under: uncultured bacterium
Lineage: Bacteria
Description: partial 16S ribosomal RNA
Rfam family: Bacterial small subunit ribosomal RNA
Source: RNAcentral
UACGUAGGGGCCAAGCGUUGUCCGGAUUUAUUGGGCGUAAAGAGCUCGUAGGCGGUUCGGCAAGUCAGCUGUGAAAUCUCCACGCUCAACGUGGAGGGGUCAGCUGAUACUGCUGUGACUUGAGUCCGGUAGGGGAGAACGGAAUUCCUGGUGUAGCGGUGAAAUGCGCAGAUAUCAGGAGGAACACCGGUGGCGAAGGCGGUUCUCUGGGCCUGUACUGACGCUGAGGAACGAAAGCGUGGGGAGCGAACAGG